Molecule: transfer RNA, 74 nt
Filed under: Actinomycetes bacterium
Lineage: Bacteria; Bacillati; Actinomycetota; Actinomycetes
Also listed under: 6 other names
Description: tRNA-Ala
Rfam family: tRNA
About the family: Transfer RNA (tRNA) molecules are approximately 80 nucleotides in length.
Source: RNAcentral
GGGGCUGUAGCUCAGCCUGGCAGAGCACUUGACUGGCAGUCAAGGGGUCAGGGGUUCGAAUCCCCUCAGCUCCA